This 258-nucleotide long non-coding RNA is filed under the name Cavia porcellus (domestic guinea pig). RNAcentral describes it as "lncRNA (ENSCPOG00000039028.1)". The record is from RNAcentral. Lineage: Eukaryota; Metazoa; Chordata; Mammalia; Rodentia; Caviidae.
UUUCAGCCCCGGUCUGUCCGGCUUAGGACUCCUUUCCUCUUGUUCCCACGUCCCUCAGGCGGCCACCCCUCAGGCGGCGCUCCCGCCCCGCGCUCCCUCUCUCUGCCUUUCUUUUCCAGCAGUCAAGAUCUUGGAAGCUUUGAAGCUCAGCAAAGAAGGGAAAUCCAUUGAGAACAGUCUGUUGAGGUAAGUGUAUUUAUUACAUAGCCUUGACAAACAUUGCUUUUACAACAUUGAUUUUUCUUUUAUUCAGGUAUU